Molecule: non-coding RNA, 27 nt
Filed under: Mus musculus (house mouse)
Lineage: Eukaryota; Metazoa; Chordata; Mammalia; Rodentia; Muridae
Source: RNAcentral
UGGAGAUUUAUCUGAUGAGCUAAGGAU